Non-coding RNA from Phrynosoma platyrhinos (Desert horned lizard), 72 nucleotides. The record is from the annotation of a GenBank genome assembly. Lineage: Eukaryota; Metazoa; Chordata; Lepidosauria; Squamata; Phrynosomatidae.
GCCAGAGCGGUGCGGUGGUUUGAGCAUUGGACUACAGCUCUGGAGACCAGGGUUCGAAUCCCUGCUCUGCCA